GAAGGGUGCAAGCGUUACUCGGAAUUACUGGGCGUAAAGCGUGCGUAGGUGGUGGUUUAAGUCUGCUGUGAAAGCCCUGGGCUCAACCUGGGAACUGCAGUGGAUACUGGGUCACUAGAGUGUGGUAGAGGGAUGCGGAAUUUCCGGUGUAGCAGUGAAAUGCGUAGAGAUCGGAAGGAACAUCCGUGGCGAAGGCGGCAUCCUGGGCCAACACUGACACUGAGGCACGAAAGCGUGGGGAGCAAACAGGAUUAGAUACCCUGGUAGUCCACGCCUAAACGAUGCGAACUGGAUGUUGGGUGCAACUUGGCACCCAGUAUCGAAGCUAACGCGUUAAGUUCGCCGCCUGGGAGUACGGUCGCAAGACUG
Molecule: ribosomal RNA, 369 nt
Filed under: uncultured organism
Description: partial 16S ribosomal RNA
Rfam family: Bacterial small subunit ribosomal RNA
Source: RNAcentral